This 253-nucleotide ribosomal RNA is filed under the name uncultured bacterium. Its description in RNAcentral is "partial 16S ribosomal RNA". It matches the Rfam family "Bacterial small subunit ribosomal RNA", at positions 524 to 776 of the family's 1533-position model. The record is from RNAcentral.
UACGAAGGGGGCUAGCGUUGCUCGGAAUCACUGGGCGUAAAGCGCACGUAGGCGGGUUGCUAAGUCAGGGGUGAAAUCCUGGAGCUCAACUCCAGAACUGCCUUUGAUACUGAAGAUCUUGAGUCCGGGAGAGGUGAGUGGAACUGCGAGUGUAGAGGUGAAAUUCGUAGAUAUUCGCAAGAACACCAGUGGCGAAGGCGGCUCACUGGCCCGGUACUGACGCUGAGGCACGAAAGCGUGGGGAGCAAACAGG